GGCUUUGGCAGCAGCUCUUAAUCUACACAUGAAUAAAAUUUCAAUUAACUAAAUACUUAACAAGAGAUUAAGAUAUGCUAAGUACAUAUAUGUCAUACAUCUAAAGGAAAGGUGAAUUUCAGAUCAUAUAUAAAGAAAAGCUUGCAAUAUAAAAUGAAUCAUUUUUUUAAUCAGCAAAAGAAACAUAAAAGAUGGUGAUUAUGCUACUACAAUAAUCAUCAUGGCAAAUCCCAUCCUAGAGAAUGUCAAUGAAUGGUCCAGAAUAACAUGAUGUCUGAGCUUGGUACAUUCUAAAGAAAUACUUUUCUCUUUUUAUUGGAUAAAAAAAAAAUUCUAUAUUUAUCAUUCUAUUAAAUACUUGGUGAAUAACAUAACUUCAGUAAACAGAUGUUAAUCAUAGGUAUGUACAAGCCUGUUUUUCACUCCUGCACACAAACAUAUGGAGAUUUUACUGAAAUGUUGCACAAAGAAAAU
Molecule: unclassified non-coding RNA, 474 nt
Filed under: Hevea brasiliensis (rubber tree)
Lineage: Eukaryota; Viridiplantae; Streptophyta; Magnoliopsida; Malpighiales; Euphorbiaceae
Source: RNAcentral